GUAGGUGGCAAGCGUUGUCCGGAAUUAUUGGGCGUAAAGCGCGCGCAGGCGGUUCUUUAAGUCUGAUGUGAAAGCCCACGGCUCAACCGUGGAGGGUCAUUGGAAACUGGAGAACUUGAGUACAGAAGAGGAAAGCGGAAUUCCACGUGUAGCGGUGAAAUGCGUAGAGAUGUGGAGGAACACCAGUGGCGAAGGCGGCUUUCUGGUCUGUAACUGACGCUGAGGCGCGAAAGCGUGGGGAGCAAACAGGAUUAGAUACCCUGGUAGUCCACGCCGUAAACGAUGAGUGCUAAGUGUUAGGGGGUUUCCGCCCCCCUUAGUGCUGCAGCUAACGCAUUAGGCACUCCGCCUGGGAUACGGCCGCAAGGCUG
RNAcentral lists this ribosomal RNA (371 nucleotides) under uncultured organism. Its description in RNAcentral is "partial 16S ribosomal RNA". It matches the Rfam family "Bacterial small subunit ribosomal RNA", at positions 527 to 896 of the family's 1533-position model. The record is from RNAcentral.